CCUUUGAUGACGACUGGCGCACGGGUGAGUAACGCGUAUCCAACCUUCCCAUAACUACGGGAUAACCCGUUGAAAGACGGCCUAAUACCGUAUGAUAUCGUUUGCUGACAUCAAAUAACGAUUAAAGGUUUAGCGGUUAUGGAUGGGGAUGCGUCUGAUUAGCUUGUUGGCGGGGUAACGGCCCACCAAGGCUACGAUCAGUAGGGGUUCUGAGAGGAAGGUCCCCCACAUUGGAACUGAGACACGGUCCAAACUCCUACGGGAGGCAGCAGCC
Molecule: ribosomal RNA, 274 nt
Filed under: uncultured Prevotella sp.
Lineage: Bacteria; Pseudomonadati; Bacteroidota; Bacteroidia; Bacteroidales; Prevotellaceae
Description: partial 16S ribosomal RNA
Rfam family: Bacterial small subunit ribosomal RNA
Source: RNAcentral